RNAcentral lists this ribosomal RNA (1184 nucleotides) under Alloproctoides sp. VV-2017. RNAcentral's name for it is "SSU rRNA". It matches the Rfam family "Eukaryotic small subunit ribosomal RNA", at positions 88 to 1266 of the family's 1831-position model. The record is from RNAcentral. Lineage: Eukaryota; Metazoa; Arthropoda; Diplopoda; Polyxenida; Lophoproctidae.
CGCGAAUGGCUCAUUAAAUCAGUUAUGGUUCAUUAGAUGAGUCCAAUCCUACUUGGAUAACUGUGGUAAUUCUAGAGCUAAUACAUGCUUGCAAGCUCCGACCUCUCGGGACGAGCGCCUUUAUUAGACCAAGACCAAUCGGGCCUCGGUCCGUUUCCUUUGGUGACUCUGAAUAACCUUUUGAAGAUCGCACGGUCUCGAACCGGCGACGCAUCUUUCAAAUGUCUGCCUUAUCAACUGUCGAUGGUAAGUUAUGUGCCUACCAUGGUUGUAACGGGUAACGGAGAAUCAGGGUUCGAUUCCGGAGAGGGAGCCUGAGAAACGGCUCCCACAUCCAAGGAAGGCAGCAGGCACGCAAAUUACCCACUCCCGGCACGGGGAGGUAGUGACGAAAAAUAACGAUGCGGGACUCUUCCGAGGCCCCGUAAUCGGAAUGAGUACACUUUAAAUCCUUUAACGAGGAUCAAUUGGAAGGCAAGUCUGGUGCCAGCAGCUGCGGUAAUUCCAGCUCCAAUAGCGUAUACUAAAGUUGUUGCGGCUAAAAAGCUCGUAGUUGGAUUUCAGUCGUAGGCCGGUGGUCCACCGCCCGGUGGCUACUGCCUGGUCCUAGGCACCUUGCCGGCUCUCCGGCGAUGCUCUUGACCGGGUGUCGUGGGUGGCCGGAACGUUUACUUUGAAAAAAUUAGAGUGCUCCAAGCAGGCGCUAUCGGCCUGAAUAACACAGCAUGGAAUAAUGGAACAGGACCUUGGUUCUGUUUUGUUGGUCUUUGGAAGCCAAGGUAAUGAUUAAUAGGGACGGACGGGGGCAUUCGUAUUGCGACGCUAGAGGUGAAAUUCUUGGACCGUCGCAAGACGAACUACUGCGAAAGCAUUUGCCAAGAACGUUUUCAUUAAUCAAGAACGAAAGUCAGAGGUUCGAAGGCGAUCAGAUACCGCCCUAGUUCUGACCAUAAACGAUGCCAACCAGCGAUCCGCCGGAGUUACUCCCAUGACUCGGCGGGCAGCUUCCGGGAAACCAAAGUGUUUGGGUUCCGGGGGAAGUAUGGUUGCAAAGCUGAAACUUAAAGGAAUUGACGGAAGGGCACCACCAGGAGUGGAGCCUGCGGCUUAAUUUGACUCAACACGGGACACCUCACCCGGCCCGGACACCGGAAGGAUUGACAGACUGAGAGCUCUUUCUUGAU